This 377-nucleotide ribosomal RNA is filed under the name uncultured eukaryote. RNAcentral describes it as "partial 18S ribosomal RNA". It matches the Rfam family "Eukaryotic small subunit ribosomal RNA", at positions 592 to 976 of the family's 1831-position model. The record is from RNAcentral.
CAAUAGCGUAUAUUUAAGUUGCUGCAGUUAAAAAGCUCGUAGUUGGAUUUCGGGUGGGAAUGGCCGGUCCGCCGUUUCGGUGUGCACUUGCUACGCCGACCUUGCUGCCGGGGACGUGCUCUUGAGUUCACGCUCGGGACACGGAGUCGGCGAGGUUACUUUGAGUAAAUUAGAGUGUUCAAAGCAGGCCUACGCUCUGAAUACAUUAGCAUGGAAUAACACGAUAGGACUCUGGCCUAUCUUGUUGGUCUGUAGGACCGGAGUAAUGAUUAAGAGGGACAGUCGGGGGCAUUCGUAUUUCAUUGUCAGAGGUGAAAUUCUUGGAUUUAUGAAAGACGAACUACUGCGAAAGCAUUUGCCAAGGAUGUUUUCAUUAA